GCCCAGACUCCUACGGGAGGCAGCAGUGGGGAAUAUUGCACAAUGGGGGAAACCCUGAUGCAGCGACGCCGCGUGAGCGAUGAAGUAUUUCGGUAUGUAAAGCUCUAUCAGCAGGGAAGAAGAUGACGGUACCUGACUAAGAAGCCCCGGCUAACUACGUGCCAGCAGCCGCGGUAAUACGUAGGGGGCAAGCGUUAUCCGGAUUUACUGGGUGUAAAGGGAGCGUAGACGGCGAUGCAAGCCAGAUGUGAAAGCCCGGGGCUCAACCCCGGGACUGCAUUUGGAACUGUGUGGCUGGAGUGUCGGAGAGGCAGGCGGAAUUCCUAGUGUAGCGGUGAAAUGCGUAGAUAUUAGGAGGAACACCAGUGGCGAAGGCGGCCUGCUGGACGAUGACUGACGUUGAGGCUCGAAAGCGUGGGGAGCAAACAGGAUUAGAUACCCUGGUA
This 446-nucleotide ribosomal RNA is filed under the name uncultured bacterium. RNAcentral's name for it is "bacterial SSU rRNA". It matches the Rfam family "Bacterial small subunit ribosomal RNA", at positions 329 to 792 of the family's 1533-position model. The record is from RNAcentral.